Molecule: ribosomal RNA, 533 nt
Filed under: uncultured bacterium
Lineage: Bacteria
Description: bacterial LSU rRNA
Rfam family: Bacterial large subunit ribosomal RNA
Source: RNAcentral
AGGACGAGGAAAGAAAGCGAAUGCGAUUCCGUAAGUAGUGGCGAGCGAAAGCGGAUUAGCCCAAACCGGAGGGUUUCCCUCCGGGGGUUGUAGGAGCCCGAUGUGGCAGGUGAAAAGUUAGGUGAAGCGAAUGGAAAAUCGCUCCAAAGAGGGUGAAAGGCCCGUAACCGAAAACUGGACACCGCCUAGGGAAUUCCUGAGUAAUGCGAUACACGUGAAACUUCGCAUGAAUCUGUGCCGACCACGGCAUAAGGCUAAAUACUCGCUAGCGACCGACAGUGAACAAGUACCGCGAGGGAAAGGUGAAAAGUUCCGCCGUGAGCGAAGUGAAAUAGAACCUGAAACCAUGUGCCUACAAGGUGUCAGAGUCCGGCUUGCCGGAUGAUGGCGUGCCUUUUGCUUAAUGAGUCUGCGAGUCAGUGCGUGUGGCAAGCCUAAGCCCUUCUGGGGUGGAGGCGGAGCGAAAGCGAGUCCGAAUAGGGCGAUUAGUUGCACGCGCUGAACCCGAAGCGGUGGUGAUCUACCCAUGGCCA